Non-coding RNA from Cordylochernes scorpioides, 77 nucleotides. NCBI's taxonomy places the organism in Eukaryota, Metazoa, Arthropoda, Arachnida, Pseudoscorpiones, Chernetidae. The record is from the annotation of a GenBank genome assembly.
CUGCCCUGGGUUCGGUGGUCCAAACUCUGCUAGCUUCUGCUAGUACUGUACGGUCCACCCAACUUAGGCAACUGCAG